Molecule: ribosomal RNA, 119 nt
Filed under: Salmo salar (Atlantic salmon)
Lineage: Eukaryota; Metazoa; Chordata; Actinopteri; Salmoniformes; Salmonidae
Source: RNAcentral
GCUCACGGCCAUAUCAGCCUGGGUACGCCCGAUCUCGUCUGAUCUCGGAAGCUAAGCAGGGUCGGGCCUGGUUAGUACUUGGAUGGGAGACCGCCUGGGAAUACCAGGUGCUGUAAGCA